This 234-nucleotide ribosomal RNA is filed under the name Escherichia coli. RNAcentral describes it as "partial 23S ribosomal RNA". It matches the Rfam family "Bacterial large subunit ribosomal RNA", at positions 2697 to 2925 of the family's 2925-position model. Lineage: Bacteria; Pseudomonadati; Pseudomonadota; Gammaproteobacteria; Enterobacterales; Enterobacteriaceae. The record is from RNAcentral.
GUGGACGCAUCACUGGUGUUCGGGUUGUCAUGCCAAUGGCACUGCCCGGUAGCUAAAUGCGGAAGAGAUAAGUGCUGAAAGCAUCUAAGCACGAAACUUGCCCCGAGAUGAGUUCUCCCUGACUCCUUGAGAGUCCUGAAGGAACGUUGAAGACGACGACGUUGAUAGGCCGGGUGUGUAAGCGCAGCGAUGCGUUGAGCUAACCGGUACUAAUGAACCGUGAGGCUUAACCUU